This is a long non-coding RNA of Heterocephalus glaber (naked mole-rat), 2092 nucleotides long. The record is from Ensembl. Lineage: Eukaryota; Metazoa; Chordata; Mammalia; Rodentia; Bathyergidae.
GAAAAAUGUGAUUUCUUCCCAUGAACUUGUGAAACUUUAGGAAAGUUUUAGUAUGCAUGAAAUCAUUGGUUUGAAUUGAACGUUUGUGGAAAUUUAACCAACAAGCUGAAUUUUGGAUCUAGAUCAGCAGAGGCUGAAACAAGGCAGCACACACAGAGCCAGGGCGAAGAUCACAUAUGGUAUGAGAUUUCGUCAGAAAUUUGUGGGGCGCAUGGAUCGUCCUGGUCAUCAAAAUGAGGAAGUCGUGCCUUUGGAGCACACAGAGUGACUUUGACUUCAUCCAGGAGGAGAACAAGGCUGAGUGAACAGUGCCACCCAGGAUGCUCAUCACAACAGUAAAGUGAAAGGAGGAAGUGAUGCAACAGUGCCAUUGUUCCAAAGUAGAAGGAAAAGCUGAACAGAAGGCUCUCUCUCCAGAUUCCACAUGUUUACUGGACGGUUCUCGAUGUUGACCAUUCUGAGUUACUAUUCCCUGGUACAUAAUAUAUCCUCUCAACAUACAAGGGACCGCAGAUGUAAACCCACAAGCUGCCAUAAAUACUAUCAUCCCAUGGCUCAAGUCUUCGGCCUGGAGAUACCUGGAAACAAAGAGAAAAUUUGUAUAAGAUGAAGAAUAUCAUCUCGGGUCCAAGAAUAGCACUUGAAUUGAAGUGACAUAGCUAUGUUUGUUUACCAAGAAGAACGACAAUAGCCAAAGGGUCCUUCUUUUAACCCUAAACCACAGCAAACAUUGUCUCCAGAAGGGCCUCGGUUAUCUAAGGAGCCUUGGGCUACCAUGAAAUGUGCAGAGGAAACAAUUCACCCCUGUUCACCCAUGUUCGCUAUCACCACCUCGUGCGUGGCUUAGGAUGGCGGGGUGGAGUCUUUCCUAAUCAUGCAACACUCUGUGCCCCUGACAGAAGAAUCUCAGGGGAGUGUCCACCAAGGUCUACCAUGACAAGUCUUCCAGGAAGGGCAAUGUGGUUCAGACCAAAGAGCACCAGAGUGGAAGGACAGAGGACAAUGUGCCUGUCAUAGCUCUUCUGCUGGUCAUAUGAUCAUGCAUGGAUCUCCUUUCACAUAGAAUGGUGGUAACAUGUAUUCCCUGGUGAGAGCAAAGGGCAAUCAAUGUGUGGCAUAAGUUAGGCCAGUGAUAUGUAAGUGGUGUUGCAGUCUGUAGUAUGCUGGGCAAGUGUAAGUUAUCACUCAGAUUUGAUUCCGAGGAGGCCCUGCCCGACCUGCCAAGUCCCUCCAAGCUGCCUGGAUCAGGGCCUGGUAUCUCGUCCAGAUCGGAACAGUCGGAGUCCAGUAGGAAUAGUAGGGACAGAGUAACCCUCAGAGCUUGUGUUUUCCAUUCCGACAGCUCAUUUAUCCCACCGUAUCUGUUUCUCCCUGUGCCUCGAAGCCAGCACCCCAGGGACGUGACCCAGUUGCCUUGCCGCCCACAGAGCUUCCUUCCCAGAGCCUUCCUCCCCACCCCGAAGGACACAGGAGGCAACUUGCUCCCCCCGUGCUCAUGCCCCCACGGCUCAUUGUCCACAGGCCACACCGCAGUGUGCUCUUCACCACAGGACUUUGUCCCUGUUGCCUCUUAAUCCCACGUCCAGGUCUUGGAGCCAUCAGUAUAAUUUCCCUGUCAUUAGCAAUGUGCUCACGAUGUACUUUCCUCACUAUGACUCAGAAUGACUUCAGGUCCUUCGAACAAUUGAAGUCCUUUGUAGACUAAGAGUUGGUGUUGAUAAUGUCCAAAUGGAUUGGGUCAAUUUUCCGUCCUCAGACAGGCCCUAACCAGGAAACAGAAUUGCAGGGAAAUGGAAACCAGAUUCAAAAAGAUACAUGAAGAUGAAAUCCGGGUAUGGAGAACACAGCUUUCCAGGAAGGGCUGAAACAACUAGAAUUAUUUUGGCUUGAGGGUGAAGUACACAAAAUGCAGGCUGGCUCUUUCCUGUCGCCACCAAAGAGGGAAACAACAGAAAGGUCUUCAGAUAGGGCAAGAAGGAUUUAGGUGACAUUUAAAGAAGAAUUUCUUAGUAAUGUGCAUUGUUAAAUAUUGGAAGAAUUUACAAAGGAAAUCUGUAAAAUUCCUUUCUGUACCAAUCUUUCCAUAGAAGGG